This 351-nucleotide ribosomal RNA is filed under the name uncultured bacterium. RNAcentral describes it as "bacterial SSU rRNA". It matches the Rfam family "Bacterial small subunit ribosomal RNA", at positions 27 to 372 of the family's 1533-position model. The record is from RNAcentral.
GGACGAACGCUGACGGUGUGCUUUAGACAUGCAAGUCGAACGAGAAAGCCCUUCGGGUUAGUAAGUAGGCGAACGGGUGAGUAACACGUGGGCAAUCUGCCCCUCGCAGGGGGACGAACCGGAGGAAACUCCGGCUAAUACCCCGUAAGUUCAAAGGGAGGCAUCUCUCUUCGAAGAAAGGUAGCUUCGGCCAUCCGGCGAGGAUGAGCCCGCGGUGCAUUAGCUAGUUGGUGGGGUAACGGCCUACCAAGGCGACGAUGCAUAGCUGGUCUGAGAGGAUGAUCAGCCACACUGGGACUGAGACACGGCCCAGACUCCUACGGGAGGCAGCAGUCGGGAAUCUUGCGCAAU